This 253-nucleotide ribosomal RNA is filed under the name uncultured bacterium. RNAcentral describes it as "partial 16S ribosomal RNA". It matches the Rfam family "Bacterial small subunit ribosomal RNA", at positions 524 to 776 of the family's 1533-position model. The record is from RNAcentral.
UACGUAGGGUGCGAGCGUUAAUCGGAAUUACUGGGCGUAAAGCGUGCGCAGGCGGUUUUGUAGGCCAGAUGUGAAAUCCCCGGGCUUAACCUGGGAAUGGCAUUUGGGACUGCAAGGCUCGAGUGCGGCAGAGGAGACUGGAAUUCCUGGUGUAGCAGUGAAAUGCGUAGAUAUCAGGAGGAACACCGAUGGCGAAGGCAGGUCUCUGGGCUGACACUGACGCUCAUGCACGAAAGCGUGGGGAGCAAACAGG